UGACCCAAUAGGGGCUUUACACGACCGUGCCCCCUUUUUCACCUAAAAAACCUAAAACUUUCACUUUGUCUUCUUCUUUGUUUUUCACCCCUACCAUUGUUCCCAUUUUCCCUCACUAGUCUGGCAGCCCUCUCCUUGACCACUAUCGUCGCUACCCGUCAUGCUCCUUUCCCCUUUCCCUUUCUUCCUCCCCUCUUCUCCCUCAUCAAGAGAACUCGUCCUUCCUUCCACCACUUCUCUUCCAUCCCCUAAUGAACCCGCUCUCCUUUCCUUCUCAUUGCAGCCAUUUCCCCUUGCCAAAAUCACCACACAGCCCUCUCCUCCUUCCCCCUUUCCCCUUUUCAGAUCUCCCUUCCUCCUUUCAACUUUGACCACCCCCACAACCCACCCUCACCCAUGGUCUAGCCACAACCCUCCCCUCCCCUCCCAUCCCCUCACCAACCCAACCCCCCUUUCCCUUUUCUCCCCUCACCCCUCACAAACCCAAUGCCACUGUACAACCCAAAUUUAGCCCGGGCCCAUUUAAAAAAUAAACAAACCAUUCAGACCCAAAAAUAACUAAACCCAAACCCAUUUCCAACUAGCCCAAAAACUAAAACAUUUCAGAAAACCCUAAUCCCCCUAACCCUAGAUGCC
This 636-nucleotide long non-coding RNA is filed under the name Gossypium raimondii (Peruvian cotton). RNAcentral's name for it is "long non-coding RNA (GRAI_LNC001499)". The record is from RNAcentral. Lineage: Eukaryota; Viridiplantae; Streptophyta; Magnoliopsida; Malvales; Malvaceae.